RNAcentral lists this long non-coding RNA (20176 nucleotides) under Setaria italica (foxtail millet). RNAcentral's name for it is "long non-coding RNA (SITA_LNC003823)". Lineage: Eukaryota; Viridiplantae; Streptophyta; Magnoliopsida; Poales; Poaceae. The record is from RNAcentral.
CAAGUAGGUUUCUUGUCAACUCGUAUCGUCUUCCUCGAGCACCUAACUGCAUUCUGCAUUUGUACAGAAUUUCAAAGGUCACUUGCUGCAGAAUUGGUUUUGCCAGUGUGUUAGUUUUGGAAUAUUGAUUGAUUUCCAAGUAUGUGUACAGGGAUACAUAUAUACAUGCUUGGGUGGCAUGCAAGCCUACCACAAUACGAUUGAAUUAGUCUAACACUCCCCCGCAGUCUAAUCAGAGGCAUCGCUAAUGGUCAGACUGGACCGGAACUCCUGGAACAGCGAGGUAGGAAGACCCUUGGUGAAGACGUCAGCGUACUGUGAUGUCGUGGGAACAUGAAGGACCCGAGCAUGACCAAGUGCAACCUUCUCUCGAACAAAGUGGAGGUCGAUCUCCACAUGUUUCGUCCGCUGAUGCUGUACUGGAUUGCUGGAGAGAUACACUGCACUGACGUUAUCACAAUAGACCAAAGUGGCUCGACGAAGAGGGCGGUGAAGCUCGAACAGUAGCUGUCGUAGCCAGGUGGCUUCAGCUACGCCAUUCGCCACAGCACGAUACUCAGCCUCAGCGCUGGAUCGCGAGACCGUGUGCUGACGCUUGGAGGACCAGGACACCAAGUUGUCACCUAGGAACACUGCGUAGCCAGAAGUGGAGUGUCGAGUGUCCGGGCAUCCAGCCCAGUCUGCAUCCGUGUAGACAACAAGCUCUGUAGGUGACGAGCGGCGCAUGGUCAGACCAAGUGAGAGAGUGCCUCGUAAGUACCGUAAAAUCCGCUUGAGAGCCGCGAGAUGAGGCUCCCUGGGUUCAUGCAUGUAGAGGCACACUUGCUGAACGGCAAAAGCAAUAUCCGGACGGGUGAAGGUCAGAUACUGCAAGGCGCCAGCGAGACUGCGGUACUGCUUGGAAUCAGCGACAGGAGGUCCAUCUGCGGAUAAUUUGGAGUGUACAUCAACAGGGGUGCUGCAAGGCUUGCACUCACUCAUCCCGGCUCGCUCCAAAAUCUCCUGAGAGUACUGUCGCUGAGAGAGAAAUAAACCACCAGUAGAGCGUGUCACUGAAAUACCCAGAAAGUGGUGAAGAGGACCCAUAUCUGUCAUAGCAAACUCAUGCUGGAGAGCCCCAAUAAUCUGCUUCAAAAGGCUGUCAGAAGAAGCAGUGAGAACAAUGUCAUCCACAUAUAGCAACAACAAAGCUGUGUCUGGCCCCCGUCGAUAUAUAAAUAAUGAAGUGUCUGACUUUGCUUCAACAAAACCAAGUGAAAUAAGGUGAGAGGCAAACCGAUGAUGCCAAGCACGCGGAGCCUGCUUCGGACCAUAUAAGGACUUGUUGAGCCGACAGACGAAAUCUGGACAAGAGGAAUCCACAAAGCCUGCAGGCUGAAUGCAGUACACUGUCUCAGUGAGGGUGCCAUGCAAGAACACAUUCUUCACAUCCAGCUGGUGAAUAGGCCAGUCCUGAGAGAGAGCCAGAGAGAGAACCACUCGAACUGUCGCGGGCUUGACCACGGGGCUGAACGUCUCAUCAUAAUCAAUACCAGGCCGCUGUGUGAAACCCCGAAGAACCCAACGAGCCUUGUAGCGAUCCAAAGAACCAUCUGCAAGGAGCUUGUGACGAAAAAUCCACUUGCCGGUGACAAGAUUGACACCAGGAGGCCGUGGCACAAGACUCCAGGUGUCAUUGGCGAGCAAGGCGUCAUACUCAGCUUGCAUUGCGGAGCGCCAAUUUGGAUCGGACAGAGCCCCACGGACAGAGGACGGCAGUGGCGACAUGGGCACAGCGUGGAGGUUGAGGCGAUCCAUAGGCUGUGCGAUGCCGGUCUUGCCGCGCGUGCGCAUGGGAUGCGCGUUGUCGACGGGGGCAAUGGAGACCGGCCGCGUGGCCAUCGUGCGGCCAGUGGUCGUGCUGCUGGUCGACCGGCUUGCCGCGGCCGCGGUGCUGCUGGCAGCAGCCUGCACGCGAGGUGCAGGGGCAGCAGCACCGGCCGGCUGGAUCGACGCGGCGCGCGGCGCCGACUGAGCACUACUGGCAGCAACCCGUGCGUGAGCUACGGGGGCAGCAGGGCUUGUCGGGGCAUGUCCGGCCGUGCCUGGGCCGUGGUGGCCAGGCGUCCCUGCUCCAGGGGACAGGGCGUCGUGCGGCGCCGUGACUGGUGUACCUGCAAGCACAGACCGAACUCCAGGGACUGGAGUGGUGAGAUCUUGUUCGUCAACAAGAAAGUCCAAGGCGGAGGAUGCCAUGGGCGUGGUGGACAUGUCGGCGAAAGGGAAGAAGGAUUCGUCAAAAACAACAUGUCGAGAGGUGAGGAUGCGAUUUGACUCUAGUUCGAGACACCGAUAGCCUUUGUGUUCCGAGGAGUAGCUGAGAAAAACGCAUAGGGAUGAACGGGGUGCAAGUUUGUGGGGUGCUGUGGAUGACAUAUUGGGAUAACAGGCACACCCAAAGACUUUGAGGUGUUCAUAGGAGGGCUGGGUGGAGGACUUUGUAGAUCCACGUCAAGACGACGCAGUCCACCUGGGUCCAUACCGGGCGCUCGGGGAACGCCUCGUCCUCGAGAACAUGGCGGGUGAGGGCGUACUUGCCGAGCACGGUGAGGAACAUCCCGCGCCACUUGGUGUAGGUGUUCGUGGCCGUGUCGAGGAUGAUGGGGAUGAGCGCCUUCACGUUGACGACGGCGGUGGCCUGCGCCCAGAUAGCUUCGUGGGCGGCCUCAUACUCGGUGAGAGCCGCGUUGCGGAGGCGAAGUUCCUCGUCACGGCGUGCCUUGUCGGCGCGUGCAGCAGCCUCGGCGGCCAGGUGACGUUCCUCGGCGGCCGUGGUGGCAGCCACGGCGGCAGCAGCCUCGUCCGUGGCAUCUGCAUCUGCCAUGGCGAGUUAGGGCCGGUAGCGGCGCCCGGCUGAAGAAGCGGCGGGGCAGGCAGGCGGAGGGUGGAUCGGCGACCGUGCUGGUGAGGCAGGGCGGGCGAUCGGGCGCGGCGAUCGGCUCGGCGGCGCUCCAGGCGAGUGGAUCGGCGACGGAAGCGGCGAGCAAGGACCGGCGGCGCGCUAGGGUUGCGGAAGCGGAUCGUAACCGCGUGAUACCAUGUUAGUUUUGGAAUAUUGAUUGAUUUCCAAGUAUGUGUACAGGGAUACAUAUAUACACGCUUGGGUGGCAUGCAAGCCUACCACAAUACGAUUGAAUUAGUCUAACAUAGUGGGGGCUCAAAAGCUAUCGCACAAUACCCAUUUUUCGUUUCAGUCCUUAGGUAGGCUACGGCUACCCUGUGGGGACUGGCCGCUACCAUAUGUGCUGCCGCGCUGCGACGCCACGCAGCAGCACUAAUCUAUCAAACUUAUCUACCUACAACCCUGUUAUUUAUUUAAUAAUUUAACACAAUACUCAUAUAGAUAUAUACUUAUCUUUUUCGGUUGUGAUUUUACUCUAUAAACUUUCACACACACAUAUAUUCAUAUUUUUUUCACUUUGCAUCUUACCUUCAUACAUUGUAUUUAAUAUUAAAAUUAGUAUUUUUCAUUACUUCCUCCCAUACAUGUAUAAGAGGUUUACACGGUGACACCCAUAUAUGUAUAUUAACAAUGAUAGAAUUAGGAGAACUAGGUAGAAACAUAUAUUGGUCUACAUUUGGACAUUUAUGUAUAAUGAACAUGCUAAUAAUUAGAUUAAGGCAUAAGUGUUUACUUGAGGUUAUUUUUCAUAAUGAUACACACCGGUAAUUUAAAUACAAAUGUAGAAGAGUAUUUUAAGUUAUUUUUUAUAAUAACAUGCAUGAGUGAUUUAGAUAAAAAAUUAUGGGGUUAGUUUAGAAUAUUUUUAUAAUGGUAUAUAUGGGUUACUUAGGCCUGGUUUGGUUUCAUUUGCUUAUUUUUAAGCAAGUGUCACAUCAACGUUUAGAUACUAAUUAGGAGUAUUAAACGUAGACUAUUUACAAAAUCCAUUACAUAAGUGGAGGCUAAACGGCGAGACGAAUCUAUUAAGCCUUAUUAUAAAAAAUAACUUUAAAUACUCUUCUACAUUUGUAUUUCAAUUUACCGGUGUGUAUCAUUAUGANNNNNNNNNNNNNNNNNNNNNNNNNNNNNNNNNNNNNNNNNNNNNNNNNNNNNNNNNNNNNNNNNNNNNNNNNNNNNNNNNNNNNNNNNNNNNNNNNNNNGUAUGAGUUUUGUAAUAGCCUACGUUGAAUACUCCUAAUUAGUAUCUAAACAUUGAUGUGACACUUGCUUAAAAAUAAGCAAAGGAACCAAACGCCCCCUUAGAUAUAGAUUUAGAGGUUUACUUUGUAAUAUUUUCAUAAUGAUAGUAGUCGGAUUUAGUGACCGACAGUGCACCAGGGGUUACUCAGGUGGUAGAUUUGUAGACGGGGGAGAUCAUAAGAAUAAGAACUCGAAUGGUAACACAGUGACGCAAGGUUUAGAUAGGUUCGAGCCUUCGGAGAGUAAUACCCUAUGUCCUGUGUUCUGGUGGAUUGUAUUGCUGACCCUAGGUGCGAAGAGUUAACGUGCCCUCGGGGGAUGCCCCUGUCCGCCUUGUAUAGGCUGAUGACCUAGGGUUACAAUCGGAUAGAUCUAAUCCUAGUCGGUUGUUACAUGGAAAGCAAUCUGAGUCGGUUUACAACAAAUAUCCCAUGAUAUUUAUCCCAUGAUAUUUGGGCAGAAUUCGUACGCCCGGCCUCCGGACUUGUGCUCCAUGUAUCUUCAUGCCUUAGCCCGCACGGCGUGGUCAAGCGGGCCCACUUGUCUGGGCCAAUCAGUAUCCUAGUCGCUGGGGAUCCAUGGGUAUCCUUAUCCCUCAAGCUCCUGAGCAAUGUGUGAGUCAAACAGGAGCCUGACGGAUGCGCAACGAAGCUUGUAAUGUACUCGGCUGAAGUUGUGGUAUCGUCAUAGUGAUGGAGAGGCUGUGUAGUGCUCAGAAAAGAAAGAAAAAUUGAAGCUUCCACAACCGUAUGACCAAAUGCGCAUGGCUAUGCGACUAUCGAGCUCCCGGAUGUCUGGCAUCCUGUAUAUUGAAGGGAAGCACAUGGAGGGCGUCGCAACACGCACUCCAUAUGGAGUAGCCCCUGAGUAUUGAAGCGAUUAAAGUAAUCGGUCCAAUGGUCAAGAAUCUGAUGUAUUAUUUUCGUCGUAAAAGCCACGCUGACCUAAAGUAGGCGCCCAGCCCCCGAGCGUAAGGACUGGUGGAGCCAAGGAGGCACACCGUGAGACUUAACGGAAAAUCCGCGGAUUCCGUCCAUCGCUUGCGUCGUAACAGGGAACUCACGAACUUUGUUGCUAGGUUUACGCCGUCAAUGCCUUCAAAAGCCGAAGAGGUGCGGUUUCCUUUUCAGUUCUACUCCACUCACUCCCAAGCGCCGCCACCGCUAAUGCCAUAGCCUCCGCGACAAAGAGCCCUAGGUCACGCCGCCGCGUCCGCAAGCCGCAUCCACCGCUCCUCGACACGAAGGCUGUAGUCACCGCCACCACGUUGCCAUUCGCCGCCAUAUGCGAACCAAGAGGCCCGCCUAGAUCCGAUCUACGCUGCGAGGAUUAGAAACUGAAGAAAUGGCGGUGGAGCAGGCCCUAGACCCAUCCACCUACUGGAUGAAAUCCAUGAUGACUGAGGAACGAAUUCUAGGCCCUUGUCGACCGCGGCCUGCUCGGACCCAAGUCCCUGCUGGAGUGGAAGGCAACCACGGGCUAGGAGUUCCCCACUGAGGACAAGACCAAAGCCAUCAUCUUUAUGGUGUUCUUCGAGCGAGGAUUCAGGAUCCCGAUAGCGGGAUUUCUUCUACGGACUGCUGGACUACUACAAGAUUGAGUUAGUGCAUCUCAACCCUAAAUCCAUCUUGGGCAUUGCAAUUUUCAUCCAUUUGUGUGAAGCAUUUCUCGAAAUCCCUCCCCCCCCCCCGAUUUCAAUCUGUGGAGAUAUCUGUACCAAUUGAAAGCAUGAUGACGAAGGGGAAACCAAGGGUGAUCGGCGGCUGUGGAUUUUUGCUACGGCGAAAGAGGGUCAUCGAGUACUUUGAUCUGAUGCUCAAGGAUUCGAACAUGGGGUGGCACGAGGAGUGGUUCCUUGUUGACAACCAAAAGCCCGAGCUGCCAUCUCGCGUCGGGUAUGCGCCUGUGACAAGGCCGGAAUGGUCGAACCAGCUGACCUCUGAGUAGAUGGUCCAGGUCAACUAGCUGCUAAAGGAGAUCACCGACCUAAAGAGACGUGGGCUCACAACAGGAGCUAUGGGUAUCAAUUUUUGCAGAAGGUUGACGCAGCCGAUCAAGGAUAGGGUCCAUCCGACAUACGAAUACUCGGGUCUGCUGUAUCCGACCCGAGAAGUACAAUGAAUGGUUACUCGGGAAGAGGUUGCUGCUUGGGUCUGCAAGUUCUUUGGUGGUGUCAUAAAGAACAAGCGCUGUCCCAAGGCGUACUCCCUCAUGAGGCCGGCCAAUCCAGUAAGUUCUUGUUUCGGUUCAUGACAUUCCUGGUUUAGUUUGUGUUGCGCUUACCUGACUUGAUCCUGUUGAUUGACCAAAGCUACGAGUGUGAAUUCUUCUGUCUAGCGUGGCUCCCUAGAAGCACUGAGCAACAAUGGCCCAAGCUUCGUCCAUCCACCGAGGCCGACCAACUACCAGUGCCCUUGACUGGGAGUCAGACUCCUCCUUCGAUGGCCUCGAUGAGGACGUGCCAGUCCAAGGUAGCAGUAUGGAGGCGGGGAGCGCUGCUUCUGUUGGGUGAUGGACGCGCUAGGCUAUGCGGAAGGUGAUGGAGUCCAAGGAGCCAGAGGCAAAGAAGAAGAAGUGGAAGAAGAAGGCAGCUGCAAAGACCAAGGCCUCGGCUACGGUAUCUGCCUCUCCGGCUAAGGCCUCGUUUGGGGUGGUGAGCAAUUACUCCGAGUUGCCCAGCUCCGCCGCAAAAAGGAAGAAGGUCGAGCUCCUUGAGACAAGAGCUGCCGACGUGGAAAAGGUCAAGGAGUGGCUGAAGAUGGAAAUCCAUGGGGGAAUGCAGAAGGAGCCGACCCUGCCACCGCCAGCGCCUCUCCGCCCAAAGUUCCAAGUGAGGAAGAGCAUGAUGUGAGUAUCUUCACAACAUCAUUUGUUGUUGAAAACUUAUCUGUAUGUUGCGUUGCUUUAUCUCUGUGUCCCGCCAUCUGAGCAGGGCUGUGAUGGAGGACGAGCCAAACCCACAGGAUGCUGGUGUCGAAAGCUAGGCAGAGGGUCAGAUGUCUGAUGCACCCCAAGGGGUUGCAUCGGCAUCUGCAGCUCAGGUCGACGGUGAAAGUGGCUUAGUGAUGGAGCCUGAGAGGCUUGAGCAGCAGUCGCCCCUGUGCCAAGACAUUGCCAAAGAUGCUGCAGUUGCCACGCCCGAUGACACGGAUGCCAACGUCGAGGUCCAGAUGGAGGAAGACCCUAGGGAGGUGCCGGUUGAUGCUGGGGCGGUGAGCCAUAAGGCCAACAUCAACGCCCACAAAGAAGAUGAUCCCUCCAUGUUGGACUUCUUUGGGACAGUUCUAGUGCAGGAGGCUGCUGAGGACAAGAGAGACCUUGCCGAGCUGAAGCAGGCUUCUAGCAAGGUCGCGGAGCUAUUAUACAUAAGUUAGCCGACUUGAUUUGAUUUAAUCGUCGUUCCUAGUUUCCUGCUCUGAUUAGUUGGGAUGAUUCUUGCCUAGAACCUGGUUGAGUGUGAGCACAACAGGGCAGACGCCAUCCAUUGCGCAGAGGAGUAUGGUCUCAAGACCGAGCGCCUAGAGGCUGAGCUCAGGAAGGCUUAGGAGGAUGCCGCAGAGUAAAUCUGACAAAAAGAUCGGGAGAUUGAGGACCAGAAAAAGAUAACCAAGGACAUCCAGAGCUUCCUCGACGCCAUGUAGAAUGGUAACGGCUUCGAUCCUUGUUGUGAGUCCAGAUCCUCUAGAUGCGACCAGUGCCUGUUCUUGAAUCUCAUUGCUUUGCAGAUGCUUAGAAGAAAGAAGAGAGCCUCAAGAGAGACCUCAAAGAGUGCAAAGUAGCCAACACCUAACUCUAGCAAGAUCAUGAUAUUGCCAUGCACCGUGAGCAUGCCGUGUCGCAAAAACUUUCCUAUGAGGCCGACUUGCACAAGAAUAUGGACCGGUGCUUGAUUGCAGCGAUGCAUAGUCUUCAGCAUGAUCAGGUGGUGAUUGCAGGGCUAGAGGUGAAGUUGGAGGACUUGAGGUCGAUCGUAGGUUACGUGAUGGACAUGAUCUAGCCCGAGGCCAACCCUGACGAGCCAACGUUGCUACUAGACCGCCUGAAGAGUGCGCCAAGUCAGAUGAAGGCCUUGAUGAAGGAGAACGCCGUGGAGUGCGCCUGAAGAUGCACUUCCCCCUGCUGGCCGUGGAGCAUGUUGGAAUGGGUGUUGCCGAGGAUUUUAAUGCUGAUAACCUCCCGGAGGUAGCCAAGCAAUAUCAACAACUUGCGGAGGACGUAGUUAAGGAACUGGACCUAUAAUGAAAAAACUAUAAAAUGUAUCAAUCUGUGCCGUGGGGUAAGAAAACUUAUUGAUUAAGUUAUGUAAAAGCAAAACUCCUUCCCUUCCUUGGUAUGUUUGAUAGGACACCGUGUGGCCUAGGCUUGUAGCCGCUAAGUGCCUAGCCUUGCUUGGCCAGCACUCUACUGAGAGCGGAUCUCGAGCUUGUAGAGGGCGCGAACACAAUGUUAUCUAGGUUUCGCAUGGUAGGACACCGUCCACACGAGUUAGUCGCACACCCUUGAGAGGGGUAGGAGAAAAGUUGAGACCCGGAGGUUGGAGCAUAGCGGGGGAAGCCCCUGAGCAUAAAGGUAAGGGUGUGGUCCAUCGAACAGGUCGGAUAGCCCCCAAGCUUGGCUAAGAAAGUGAGAAGGUAGUAGGUAUGCAAAGAACCUCUGGAGUUUUAUUUAUUUAAUAUGAGAAAGUUGAAAGAGUACAUAGCUUUUAUAUCCUAGGGGUAGAAGCGUUGUAGGUGUUGGAUGUUCCAUGGGUUGGGGACGCCUGAACCAUCCGCUCACUGCAGCCAAUAUGUACUGGGUUGAAUGACCUCUUUGAUGAUGAAGGAGCCCUCCUAGGGGGCCGAUAGCUUGUGCAUGUCUUUGGUGGACUGGAUCCAGCAGAGCACCAGGUCGCCAACAUUGUACGAGCGUUCCUAGACGUUCUUGUCAUGAUAGCGUCGAAUCUGCUGUUCAUGCUGCGCGUGCUGGAUGAGAGCUACCACGCGAUCUUCUUCUAGGUUGUCAAUGUCGACCUACCGACUCUUUUCUGCUUGCCCUUCCUCGUAGUAUUGAAUCCGUGGGGCACCAAAGGCUACAUCUAUUGAUAGUACAACCUCUGAGCCAUAGACGAGGAAGAAUGGGGUGUAGCUAGUGGCCCGACUCUUUUGGGUGCGGAGACCCCAAACGACUUGGGGUAGCUCGCGGAGCCACUUGGUAGCAUACUUGGAUGCGUCAUCAAAGAUGCGAGACUUGAGGGAUUGGAGGACCAUCCCAUUCGCAUAUUUGAUCUGGCCGUUGCAUCAUGGGUGAGCUACUGAGUAGUAUAUGUCGAUGAGGUUGUCCUGGCAAAAAUCCUAGAACUCGAAUCCUGUGAAUUGUUUUCCCAGGUUAGUUAUGAUCUUGUUGGGGACCCUGAAGCGGUGUGUGAGCUCUUCGACGAAUUGAGCUGCUUUGGCCAACUAUGCUAGUGAUAGCCUUGACUUCGAUCCACUUGGUGAAUUUGUCAACUGCCACGAAGAUAUGGGUGUAUCCACUCGGAGUAGUCUUGAAAGAGCCGACCAUAUCCAGCCCCCAACAUACGAAGGGCUAGGAUGGUAGGAUGGUACACAAGGGCUUGCGCUGGUAGGUGCUGCUGCUUGAAGAAAAAUUAGCACCCUUUACACCUCUAGACAAGCUCCUUUGCAUCGGCAAUAGCAGUCGGCCAGUAAAAGCUAGAGUGGAAUGCUUUCCCGACCAGAUUGCCCGAGGCGGCAUGGUUCCCGCACGAACCCUAGUGGAUUUCGUGGAGGAGUUCGAGGUCUUCAUUGCGGAGGAUGUACUUCAUCAAAAUGCUGGUAGAUGCGACCUUCCUGUACAACUUCUUACUGAUCACAAUGUAGUUGGUGCUGCGUCGUGCAAGCUUUUCGUGCUCGACUUUGUCCUCUGUGGACAUGUUGUUGGUGAUGAAUACGAUGAAAGGUGCGUGCUAGUCUUCCUCCACCUCGAUCAUCAGGACAUCAGUGGACGCUGGGUCAGCCUGAGCCUGGGCGUUGCUGUAAGCUUGGUAUGGGUCCAUGAUCUUAAUGGAUGGUUUUCUCAAGUCCUGGACGAACACGCCGACCAGGACUUGGGCAUGUUACGAGCCGAGCUUGGAUAGGAUGGCGGCGGCGACGUUGUGUUCCCAGGGGACGUGAUGGAAUUCGAGACCAUCGAAGUGAACCUCAAGUUUGCGAACCUCGGUGUAGUAGGCGUCUAUGGUUUCCUUGGUGCACUCCCAGGACUUGUUGACCUGCUCGAUGACAACCUUGGAGUCGCCAAACGCGAGGAUGCGUUUAAUGCCGAGCGAGGUGGUGAUGCGGAGCCCGUGUAUGAGGGCCUCGUACUCGGCACCGUUGUUGGUGGCCUUGUAGUGGAUUUGGAGGAUGUACUUGAGCUUCUUGCCUUUCAAGGACAUGAAGAGGACCCCCGUGCUAGCUCCUUCGAGGUUGAGGGCGCUGUCGAACUACAUCGUCUAGUGCUCCAGCCUCUCCAGGGAGGGCGGCUCUUGGAUCUCAGUCCAUUCAGCAAGGAAGUCGGCCGGGAUCUAGGACUUGAUCGCAUGACGUGGGCAGAAGUCAAUGUCGAAUUCGCCGAGCUCCAUGGACCAUUUGACGACUUGGCCAUGGACAUCCCUGUUGUGCGGGAUUUCGCCGAUUGGGUAAGAGGGGACCACUUAGAUCUUGUGCGCUUGGAAGUAGUGACUCAGCUUACGGGAGGUGAUCAGGAUUGCAUAGAACAAUUUCUAGACCUACGUGUAGCAGACUUUGGAGUCACUCGGGACCUUUGCUGAUGUAAUAUACCGACCUUUGCACCAUGUAGCGUGACCGGGUUCCUUGCAUUCUACGACCAGCACCAUGCUCACGACAUGUGUUGUCGCAGAGAUGUACAACUGCAAUGUUUCUUGGUCGGCUGGGGCCAUCAAGACGGGAGGGGUGGAGAGGAAUGUUUUGAGUUCCUCGAGGGCUUUGCAGGCCUCAUCAUCCCACUCGAACUUGUCCGCCUUCUUGAGAAGCCUGAAGAAGGGGAGUCCCUUUUCGCCGAUCUUGCUGAUGAAGUGGCUAAGGGCUGCCAUCACGGCUGUGAGCUUCAUGACAUCCUUCUUGCUAGGCGGCUAUGCCAUGUUCCUGAUGGCAUCCACUUUGACAGGGUUGGCUUCGAUGCCGCGUUGGCUGACCAUGAAGCAUAGGAGCUUUCUGAACGGGAUACCGAAGACACAUUUGCGCGGGUUGAGUUUCCAUCGGUAGGCCUGGAGGACGUUGAAGGUUUGGUGAGGUCGGCAAUGAAGUUCUCUUCGUCUUUGGUCUUAACGACUAUGUCGUCGAUGUAGGCCUCUAUGUUUUUGCCAAGUUAUUUCUUGAGGCAACCCUGGAUUGCCUCCUGGUAGGUGGCGCUAGCAUUUUUUAACCCAAAGGUCAUGGUGUUGUAUCAGUAGAUGCCGUACGGCAUUAUGAACACAGUUCUAUCUUGGUCGGUGGGGUUGAGGGUGAUCUAGUGAUUGCUCGAGUAGCAAUCGAGGAAGCACAGCAGGGUGCAGCCGGCUGUGGAGUCCACAAUUUGCUCGAUGCAAGGAAGAGGGAAGGGGUCUUUAGGGCAGUGCCUGUUGAAUCGGUGUAGUCGAUACACAUUCUCCAUUCAUCGGUUUUCUAUUUUACAACGACUGGAUUUGCUAACCAGUCGGGGUGCUUACAUUCACGGAUGAAACGGGCAGCUAUGAGCUUCUUUAUUUCUACCCUAAUGGCCUCCUUGUGAUUUUGAGCGAAACGACAAAGCUUCUGCUUGACCAGCCUUGUUGUCUUGGUCAGCUCCAAGGAGUGCUCAACCAGUUCCUGUGGGACUCUGGGCAUAUCGGAUGGUUUCCACGCAAAUAUGUCCGAGUAGUCUCGAAGGAAGCUGGUGAGCGCAUCUUCCUAUUUGGGGGUGAGGCUAGCCCCAAUGAGGGCCGUCUUGGUGGGGUCUUAUAGGCCGAGGCUGAUCUUCUUGACUUGCAAGUUGGGCUGUAGCACCGUGGGCGUUGGGUCCACCUCUAGGAUCGUCAGCUGACUUUGGUCCACUUCUUGGACUCGGUGAGAAUCAUGGUGGCGUUGGCCGAGUACUCCAGGGUCUCGACAAGCUGCACGGCUUCUGUGUCGCACUUGUAGGAUGUUUCAACAUCACUGAAGAUGGAGAGCACACCAUUUGGAGCCGGCAUCUUGAGGAUGAGGUAGGUAUGGUUGGGGAUCAUCAUGACCCUCACCAGCAUUGGCCUGCCAAAGAUGGCAUGGUAGAAGGUCUUGAAGUUGGCAACCUCGAAGGUGAGGUGCUUGCUGCGGUAGUUGUCAGGGGUGCCGAACGUGACCGGCAGGUUGACUCUCCUGAUAGGAUAGGAUCCUUUGCUGGGUACUAUGCCGUAAAAUGGGUCUUCCAGGGAAGGAGCCACUCAAAGUUUAAGUCCAUGCGCUUUAAGGUCUCAGUGAAGAUGAUGUUGAGGCUGCUGCUGCUGCCAUAGAUCAGCACCUUGCAGAGGACUUUGUUUAUGGUAGGGCGUACCACCAGCGGGUUAGACCCGGGGGUCCAGGAUGUACACCAGUGACCUUUCCCGGAGAAUGUUAUGGGCAUCUCCAACUAGUGCAGAUACUGGACUAGUAUGACGGAGAUAAAGUGCACUUCCCGCCUUUGCAAUUUGUGCUUGUGAUUGCUGCAGAAAGCCUUAGGGCUGCCGAUGAUGAUGUUCACCUCCCACUCAGUGUGCUGGAACUCGCCGUUGUCAUUGCUGGCACCCUGGUUGGCAUCAGGGUUGCCCUGGUCACGGUGCUCUUCUCUGUGUUUGUCGUUGCGGUCGUUACGGUGGCGGUUGUCACGACGGUUAUCUUCCUUGCGGUAGUCAUUCUGACAAGGCCACUUGUAUUCCACCGGGCACCAAGCUCUUUCUUGAGGACCGUGCAGUCUCGAAGAUUGUGGCAUGCGUCCUUGUGGAAGGGGAACGGGGUGUUCAGUGUAUCAUCAAAUUCCUCCUGGAGCAAGGUUGUUUCCCUCCCAGGAUCGGCUUCGGUAGUGAGGACCUCAGGGGCCCUCUUCCGAGGUCAGGAUGGCUCCAGUCGGGGCUGGUGCUGGUUGUCUUGAUGGGUUGGCGGUUUGUCAUCAUUGUUGUGGCAAUUCUUGCCAUCCUGGAAUUGGACAUGCUCGGCCUCAUCUAUGUUGGCGUGAAGGUUGACAAUUUGCAUCAUGUGUCUGACUGUCUUGGGAGUGUCCUAGAACAUGGUGCGGAACAUCGAGUGGUUCUUGACGCUGGUGUGGAAGUACCAAAUGAUGUCGUGAUCUUCAACGCCGGCAAGCCUGUUGCGGUUGUCGAAGAAGUGGUUAACGUACUUGUGGAGAGUUUCGUUCUUCCGCUGGCCGACUUGGCUGAGGCUUUCUGUGUUUCCAGGUCGAGUGUAUGUAGCUUGAUAGUUCUAGGUGAAGGCUCUGGCGAUCUGUCCCCAUGUGUCGAUGCAGCCUCGCGGGAGGUUUUCAAGCCAUAGGCGAGCUGCGCUUCCUAUCACCACCAGAAAGUAGGUGCCCAUCUGGUCGUAGGUGCCGUGCACAGCCUUGACUGCAUUGUAGUAUGUCUUUAGCUGGAUCUUCGGGUCGGAGCGACCGUCGUACUUCUUGUUGAUGGCUGGCUUGAAGGUGCGUGGCCACUGGACAACCCUGAGGUGGGGCUGAAUGCGGCAAACCCGUCAAUGUCCAUGUCAUCAUCUUCCAUGAGGUGGUAGCAUACCGGUAGGGCCCUAGGGUGUGCACUGUUGUCAUGUUGGGGUGGGGCGCCGUAGCGACGGUCGUAAUCGUCGCGGCAGCACAACUCCUCAUCCCGGCGGUUGUGGGCCUCCUGCUCCACGUCACGGUUUGGCUGGUUGCCGACCCCUGGAGCGCCAAAGUCACGGUCGUACUUGGCACGCCGGUGGAGCUCUACCUCAUCCCACUCCUGGUGACGGUUGUUGAGCUCACCAAAAAGGUCACGGUGGUCGCGGAGGUUGUCGCGAAGGUCGUGGUCAGGUUGUCGACCAGGUCGACUGCGGCGUUCGCUGUCUCCUCAUCCAUCACGGCAACGGUUGUUAUGGUGGUGGUUAUCUGAAUUGGUGGCCAUCGUUGUCAGGGUGGUGGUUGUUGCUUUGGGAUUGGUCCACCUCCUCCUCUUGAAUGUGUUCCAGCCGACCUCCCCUGCGGCGGCCGUUAUUGGCUCGGCUGCGAUCGGACCUACUCUGAGUAGAUUGGCUUCGGGAGUGCCAGGUAGAUGUAGAUCUGGAGUGUGAUGAUCAGCUUCUUGAGUGUGUUGGGUCCUGGGCCUUUUUCUCAAUCUAGGAAUUAGCAACGUGGAUGCGCGCUCGGAUCCGCUGCAGUUGCUCCGAGUUUGGAAGAUUUUCCUGGUUGGCAAAAACAGUCCCCAAGUUGGCCUGAGGUGUGGCGAAGACAUCAUGACCGGCGUGUUUGAAGUGAGCCUGCAGAUUGCGGGCACAUAAGGGACGCCUGCAUCGACCUUCAGCACCACCCUUGAUCGCUGUUGACGUCGUCGUUAGGUGCCAGCAGGAUGGGCGGUGCACCGGCCGCUGCGGGGGUGGCAGGCGACUGAUGAACUUUCUCAGCUCGUUCCUGUUGGCAGUGCCUGCCGCAACCUCGAUUCCUCUUAUUGCGCCCUUCCUCCUGGGAGGAAGUUCCACCAUCAUGAGGAGGUUCGUCGACGGAGACAACGAAGACUUCCCGAUCUAGUGAUGUAGAGCUUCCGUCGUCGCCCUCGCCGUAAGGGUUUGGGGUUAGGACGAAGCGAGGGACUUGGAACUUGCCGCAGUCUUGAAACUGGGUGGGUUCGAUUGGUUCGUCAGAUUGGAUCUGGAAAGACUGGAUGAGUUUUUCAAAAAACACAGCAGCCGAGUUCUUAAUGCCGAAAGGGCGUGGGAAGAGCCCUGCGCCGACCUUCCGGGGUGUAGUGCCGCCUCGGAGAGGUUGAUGCACUCAGCAAUGGUGUUGCUGAUGCGAUCUAGCCCUGCGAUUAGAUCGGAGGGUGUGGAUGGGUGCGUUGCCCGCGAGGAUGCGCGGGAUUAUCUCUACGGGAGAGAUUCCCGACCUGCUGGGCAAGCGGCGUGAUGAUCCUCGGGUGAGACAUUGCCCCAUUGAUGCAGGUCCGACGGACGCCGAACUAGCGGCGGACACCGAGUCGGCAAUGGAGGCGGCGGAGUCGGAGUCCACCGGCAUGCUCCAAAAGCAGAGCUGGAUCAGAUUGGCGAGGAAGUCCUUCAUGCUCUUGGGGAAGAUGACGCCGGGGAGGGUUGCCAUCGAGCUUGCUAGGGAGGAUCUCACGAUCACCCCUACCGGCGCGCCAACUAUUGGAUUUAGUGACUGGCAGUCCACCAGUGGGUUACCUAGGUGGUAGAUUUGUAGGCAGGGAAGAUCGUAAGACCAAGAACUCGAAUAGUAAUAUAGCGACACAAGGUUUAGACAGGUUCAGGCCUCCGGAGAGUAAUACCCUACAUCCUGUGUUUUGUUGGAUUGUAUUACUAAUUACAGGUGCGAAGAGUUAACGUGCCCUCGGGGGCACCCCUGACCGCCUUAUAUAGGCUGACGAUCUAGGGUUACAGUAAGAUAGAAUCUAAUCCUAAUCGGUUGUUACAUGAAAAAUAAUCUGAGUCAGUUUACAACAAAUAUCCCGUGAUAUCCGGGCAGAAUCCGUUCGCUCGGCCUCCGGACUUGUGCUCCACGUAUCUUCAUGCCUUGGCCCGCACGGCGUGAUCAGGUGGGCCUACCUAUCAGGGCCGAUCAGUAUCAUGGUCGGUGGGGACCCAUGGGUACCCUUAUCCCUCAAUAGUGGUGGAUAAUUUUUAGGAAACAUAUAGAUCAAUGGCUAUGAUUAUUAGAGUCUACAUGAUUGAUAUGCCCGAAAGUUUGUGACUUUUGUGAGAAUUUUUAGGAAUUAUCUUUUCUCCUAGCACUUCUCGUGAGAACUAGUGCAAAGUCUUCAAUUGAAAAAAAUAAAGGCACCUAAAUAACAAUAAAAAAUGUUACUUAUUAUCUUCAUCUUAUUAUGAUAGAUUUUAGUUAGUAAUUAUUCCAUAAUAUUUUCAUCCAUAUUUAUAAUAUUUUUUCGCUUUGCAUCGCAGGUAUACUCUUGAAUUUGUUUAAUAGACUCUAAGUUUGUGCUAUAUCUUUUUCUAUAUAUUUUUAAAUGUUGACACACAUCAUGCAUAGAUACCUUGAUUGUUAUUUACUAUAUCAAGAGUGUCAUAAGUAGAGAAUUAGAAUUAUAUGUUGGUGGGUAUAUUUUAAUAAUGGAAUAUGUGUGUAAUUUAGAUGUAAAUUUAAUGGUUACUAUAAGUUAUUUUUUUAUAAAGUUUGUGGUGAGCAAUUUGGAAACAAAUUUAAGGGGUUAUUUUAAAUUAUUUUUUUAUAAUUGGCAUAAGUGGGUAAUUUAGAUAGAUAUUAGGGGUUACUUUAGUUUAUUUUAUAUAAGGGUAGAGGUGGAUAAUUGAGAUAAUGAUUUAGAGGUUACUUUAAGUUUUUUUUAUAAUGGCAGAGGUGGGUAAUUUUUUUUAAAAUAUAAUAGAUCCAAUGGCUAUGAUGAUUUGAGUCUACGAAUAGAUGGCUAGAUGUUUUGCUUUUUUUGAACUUUUAGAAUUCUCUCUUUUUCUAAAGUGUCCACUUAGGAUCCUAAAUGGCUUCAUUUAUGGAGGCUUCAAAAGAGACCUACAAUUAAUAAUAGUAAGGUAUACGUAUCUAAGUUGCAAUUGCAACUCACAUAAAAGUCUAGGGCAUACGGAACAUUACAUGCUCUGAUCAUCUUCAACAUCCACCCCUUUGGUCCAACAACAUAGGGGUUCCAUAUAUAUGUACUUUACCCCAUCUAUCACUGAACCAGUCUACGUAAAAUAGAAAUUUUGCAAACAUUCUACAAUUGAAAAUGCACAGGCAAGCAAUAAAAUAAGAUGUAUAAUGUAUCAUACAAUAACAUUGUAAAGUUGUGUUAAAAAAACUCAAAAAUUUGAUGGUAUUGGUAUUGGCUGAUCUUGUCGUGGUGAUCAUUAUGUCUAUCCCACGACUCCAACGUAAUUGAACUCCACAAUUUUAACAAUUUCCAUUACCUAAAUAUUUGCCCAAGCAGUUACCAAAAAUACAUUUAGAUAUAGUUGAAUAGCUAUUUAAAAUACCUUGGCAAAUAACAAUUGAAGUUUUGAGGACAGAUGCAACUCUUUUGAGAUUUGUAGGCGUCUAAUUAUUUUGUAUUUAAAACAAGAAGUGUGAGAUUUUAUAAAAUACUAUUAAGCUUCCAAAAAUUUAUAUAUUGUACCCUCCUCCAACACGAAAACUAUGUUAUUAUCAUUGACGAUUGGACUAUGGGAACCAUCACUACUGGAAAUCUGAGCAUUGGUCCUAACUCUUAGUACCGGUUGGUUUUUGACUCGGUACUACCCGUGACCCCCUUUAGUACCGGUUGGGAGUUCCAUUGGUACUAAAGGUCACCUAUUAGUAUCGGGUGGAGGCUCCACCCGGUACUAUUGUGCCUGAGGACCUUUAGUUCGGGUGAAGCCUCCACCCGGUACUAAUGGGUGAUCUUUAGUACCGGGUGGAGCUCCCAACCGGUACUAAAGGGGUCACGGGUACCUUAUCUCCUCGCGUUUCUCCUCUCCCCCUUAUCUCUUCUCUCUCAACCGGGUACCUUAUCUCUUCUUUUCUCUCACACUUAUCUCUUCCCCUUCUAUCUUCCCCUCCACGACACAACGCAUGUAGGUUGGGGGCACAACUUCGGCUGUCCGAGGCCCCGCGCGAGUGAGCAGGCUGGGGUAUGUCACACCCGGUUUCUAGACAAAACCGAAUGCAUAGCAUAUGUGUGCCAGGAUCCGUUCUCACACAUAUGUUGACUUCAUAAGUGAAUACAUCAAAGACAGUGUUCAAAAACGUAAAUAGAAUAGUAGGUACUUAUUACACUCUGAAAGGUAGACACGAAGAUCUUUAAUCGUUCACCGAUAACCUUAACACGCACACAUAGCGAAGCUUCUCCACAGGCUUGACUGGUGAACGCCCGCUUAGAACUCUUUGAAGUCAUCGAAGAACUCCGCGUCGUCACAAGCUUUUGAACAACAUUUGGGCAAGGGUGAGUACACUUAUGGUUGGUACUCAGCAAGUGGGAGAACAUGCAAGGCUUAACAAGGAGAGGCUCAAGCUUUAAGCGGUUAGCAUUUUAGUUGGUCAAAUUUUAAUUAGCAGCACCUAAAUACUAGGUGUAAGUUUAUACCAACCCACUUAAGCAUAAAGUAUUAGCAUUAUCCAAAAACCAAGGAACCAUGAUUUAUUUUCAUCUUUAAGUUCAAUUAUCAUGUGAGGGUUCAAGCCGCUCAUAACCGUGAGCACGGUUUAUAUAUCAGUUUACACUCUGUAGAGGUUGUACACUUUACCCACAACUCGUGUUCCUCGUGUCGCCCGGGUUUGCAAAGCCCUUAAACACUUCCUUUGGUGAGUGGCUGGGGGUCCACUACGAAGCCUUUACCAAGACACAUAGUUAACUAGUAGCACGCUAGAGUUUCAGUUGUAGCGAUGAGGGUCACAACCUGUUAAUGAGACAACACCUUAGCAAAUGCUACUACUCCGGAUCAUGCACCCAACACCUUCCCCCUCCUUGCCCUUUCGGUAAGGCCACCAGUUAACCACAUGCCUAAUUAAUUGGCUAAGAUUAGAGCCAUGUGAUGUUGUGGUUGUACUGUUUUCUUGGGUGGUUCUCCAUGUUCCAAUUAAAACAAGUAUUCUUGCAAUUAACCAGGUGUAGUAACAAAAAUAAAGUCAUGUUUAAGAUUCUCAAAAUUAUGACAUUUCCAUCCUAGAAGUAAGCAAUUAAGCAAUUCUACCCAACAAGAUUAAACCGGUGUUCAAGGAUCAGGAUUAAAAACUAGGUAAGUCCUUAAUAGGUAUUCCUAUCAAUUUAUGCACAUACAGGAAAUUAAUAAAGUGAUUAAUCACGAUAUUAUUGGGACGAAAAAGAAUAUGAAAGGGGAGAUAACCACUUGCCUUCCUAGGCAAACUGCGAGUACUCUUCUUCGAACGGCGGCUGCUCCUAAACUUGUCCUUCCGCGAAUGGCACGUCGUCUACACGAUCACACAAGAAAAACAAACAAUGAAUAAAACAGUACACCAAACAUGACCAAAAGCUUAAAACAAACUCCUAAAAAUAAUGUUCAUGUAGAGAUGGUCACGUGAGUGCGAGAAUCGCUGAAAUCGGAUUUAAAACGAUGAAGAUAUGGAGUAAACAAGUUUUAGGGACUAAAACAGAAUUAACUACAUAUAUACUUCAGGGGCUUGCAAAGAAGUUUCACAAGACUCUGCGAGCAGUGCUUGCAAAAAUAGAGAAACACAGGGUUAGAUAUGUAAAAGUUGCAAGCUCAGGUUAGAAUGAAAUAAUCUAAAGUUUCCAGGGGGUUUUCCACAAGAUUCGCAAGGCACAAGAAUAAAAGAAAGAUACAAGAGAGACAAGGGGGCAUAUAGCAAAACGUCCUUAUCCUAUUCUUCUUCCUCGUGCAUGCCCGCACAGGGAGGGACGGCGCACCACUGGUGGCGCUAGAACCGGGGCUUCACCGGCGCUUGGUGCGGCGGGGAGGGGGACCGGCGCGGGGGAGGGAGAAGAGAAAGGCGCAGAAGAGGAGCCUCACCGGCGGUGGCGAAGGGAAGGAAGUGGCCCGGUGGCGAACAGGAACCAGCGGCGGCGAAGCUUUGGGUGGCGGCGAUGCUCUAGUGCGAGAGGGUGGCGGGUGGGCAGCGAAACGGAAUGGGGAGCUCGGGUGGAGGCGAUUGGGGGUUUUAUAGGGCGCGAGGAGGAGUGUAGAGGGCGCCGGGGAGGGCCAACGAUCCGGCCGGCCAUUGAAGCUAGGCAUCGAAGGUGUAACGGGCGUCCGUUACUGGGAGGAUUUAAGGGGAAAGGGUGCUGCGGCGCGUGCGCGUGAAUAAUGGGGGCGGCACAUGCUUGAAGAGCUGCAGGGGGUGGGAAGGUGAAGGGGGCACCAUUCACGG